UUAGAUUAAGUUAUUAAGGGCGCACGGUGGAUGCCUUGGCACUAGAAGCCGAUGAAGGACGUUACUAACGACGAUAUGCUUUGGGUAGCUGUAAGUAAGCGUUGAUCCAGAGAUUUCCGAAUGGGGGAACCCAGCACAAGUUAUGUUGUGUUAUCGACAAGUGAAUUCAUAGCUUGUCAGAAGGCAGACCCGGAGAACUGAAACAUCUUAGUACCCGGAGGAAGAGAAAGAAAAUUCGAUUCCCUGAGUAGCGGCGAGCGAAACGGGAAGAGCCCAAACCAAUAAGCUUGCUUAUUGGGGUUGUAGGACACUCUAUACGGAGUUACAAAGGAAUAUAUUAAACGAAUCAUCUGGAAAGUUGAAUCAAAGAAGGUAAUAAUCCUGUAGUUGAAAAUAUAUUCUCUCUUGAGUGGAUCCUGAGUACGACGGAGCACGUGAAAUUCCGUCGGAAUCUGGGAGGACCAUCUCCUAAGGCUAAAUACUCUCUAGUGACCGAUAGUGAACCAGUACCGUGAGGGAAAGGUGAAAAGUACCCCGGAAGGGGAGUGAAAGAGAACUUGAAACCGUGUGCUUACAAGUAGUCAGAGCCCGUUAAUGGGUGAUGGCGUGCCUUUUGUAGAAUGAACCGGCGAGUUACGAUCUGAUGCAAGGUUAAGCAGAAAAUGUGGAGCCGUAGCGAAAGCGAGUCUGAAUAGGGCGUAUAGUAUUUGGUCGUAGACCCGAAACCAGGUGAUCUACCCAUGGUCAGGUUGAAGUUCAGGUAACACUGAAUGGAGGACCGAACCGACUUACGUUGAAAAGUGAGCGGAUGAACUGUGGGUAGCGGAGAAAUUCCAAUCGAACUUGGAGAUAGCUGGUUCUCUCCGAAAUAGCUUUAGGGCUAGCCUCAAGUGAUGAUUAUUGGAGGUAGAGCACUGUUUGGACGAGGGGCCCCUCUCGGGUUACCGAAUUCAGAC
RNAcentral lists this ribosomal RNA (956 nucleotides) under Staphylococcus sp. HMSC068C09. RNAcentral describes it as "bacterial LSU rRNA". It matches the Rfam family "Bacterial large subunit ribosomal RNA", at positions 1 to 950 of the family's 2925-position model. The record is from RNAcentral. Lineage: Bacteria; Bacillati; Bacillota; Bacilli; Caryophanales; Staphylococcaceae.